CCCUCUUGAUCGGGAGAGGGCAGACACGCGCUGCCGCCGAAGGGGCAUCACCCAAAAACUCUCAGGCAAAAGGACCGGUCAGGGGUC
Molecule: non-coding RNA, 87 nt
Filed under: Massilia sp. CF038
Lineage: Bacteria; Pseudomonadati; Pseudomonadota; Betaproteobacteria; Burkholderiales; Oxalobacteraceae
Also listed under: 1 other name
Description: Glycine riboswitch aptamer
Rfam family: Glycine riboswitch aptamer
About the family: This family represents the bacterial glycine riboswitch. Glycine riboswitches usually consist of two metabolite-binding aptamers domains with similar structures in tandem. The aptamers cooperatively bind glycine to regulate the expression of downstream genes.
Source: Rfam by way of RNAcentral